This 524-nucleotide ribosomal RNA is filed under the name Lacerta agilis (Sand lizard). Its description in RNAcentral is "partial 16S ribosomal RNA". It matches the Rfam family "Bacterial large subunit ribosomal RNA", at positions 1844 to 2620 of the family's 2925-position model. Lineage: Eukaryota; Metazoa; Chordata; Lepidosauria; Squamata; Lacertidae. The record is from RNAcentral.
UAUUAAAGGUUCCGCCUGCCCAGUGACUCUUUAAACGGCCGCGGUAUCCUAACCGUGCAAAGGUAGCAUAAUCACUUGUCCCCUAAAUCGGGACUAGAAUGAAUGGCUAAAUGAGGACUAAACUGUCUCUUACGGACUAGCCAAUGAAAUUGAUUUCCCAGUACAAAAGCUGGGAUAUACUCAUAAGACGAGAAGACCCUGUGGAGCUUCAAAACCAAACCACCCAGCAUGCUCCUUGGAUUUUUAGUUGGGGCGACUUCGGAAUAUAAAAAAACUUCCAAAAUGAAUAAUUUUAUUUAGGUUAACACACCAAAAUUAGCCCACUAGACCCAGCAACUAACUGUUAGUCUGAUUAAUGAACCAAGUUACCCCAGGGAUAACAGCGCAAUCUCCUUUUAGAGUCCAUAUCGACAAGGGGGUUUACGACCUCGAUGUUGGAUCAGGACACCCCAAUGGUGCAGCCGCCAUUAAAGGUUCGUUUGGUCAACGAUUAAUAGUCCUACGUGAUCUGAGUUCAGACCGGA